AUGGCCCCAGAAAGGAGUGGGUCUAAGAAGCAGGAGCUCAACUCUCAGAAAAAGCUAGAGAAGAAGCUCAGCUUCUAUACAAAAGUGAAAGAUGCGGUUACCUCCCUACAGGCCAAAAAGGCUAUCAGUAAGAAAAAGAAACAGAGGAGCCGUCAGAAGAAACUGAAAGCAUAUGAUCUGUCAGCACUUUCUGAGUUCCUUCCACAAACAGCCAGCUCCCAGCAGCAGACGGAAGUAAAGCUUAACCGCAAAUCGAAGCAGGCUUUAGUGCAGCGAGAGUCUGCUCAACUGAAUGCUGUACUGAACAAUGCUCAGUUCCAGCUAGACCCAUUGGCUGCAAUUCAUCAGCAUCUGGUAUCAACACAACCGCCUUCUUCCGUGAAAGACGACGAAUCUGCAAAGAACGCGAAGAUAUCUAGGAAGGACAAGAAAAGGAAAAAGAAGAAGAAAAAUGCUUUGUCGACCCCUCAGUCGAUGGAUAUCUGA
This 486-nucleotide ribosomal RNA is filed under the name Triticum aestivum (bread wheat). Its description in RNAcentral is "partial small subunit ribosomal RNA". Lineage: Eukaryota; Viridiplantae; Streptophyta; Magnoliopsida; Poales; Poaceae. The record is from RNAcentral.